GCGACAGGCUGCAGGGGCGGGAGGCAAGGGACACGCUAUGCCCAAGCAGGGCGAGUCCAUGGGCUGUGCCCAUGAUGGAAGACCACGACUGCCAUCAUGAUAGCUGGAAGUUUGUGGGCCACGACGCCGAUCCUGGUCAGAGCGGGCCUGGGGCUGCGCUUGUUGGAGCAGUGCCUUGUCAGAUUAGCCAUACGGUUGCUGUGUGCAAUUCUCAACCUGGACAGACAGGCCUGCCAGGCAGAAACUGCUCAGGCAGAUGAUGCUGGGGAGGACAAAAAUUAUCCACCGCAAGACUAAGAAGACAGAUGACACCCAGCAGGAAUGGCGAGCCAAAUCAUCAGAAUCCACAAUACAGCUGGCUAGCCCUAGGCUACCUGCCUCUUUGAAGUGGAAGAGACAUCACCGAUGAGCUGUCAAAUUAGAUCACCAGCCUGGAAACGCUGAAAGAGAUUUAGUUCUUCCAGCAGAGAAGGGGAAGUGUAAUAGAUGAAAAUCUUCCUAAAGGGGCCAAGGUAAUGUGGGAGGGGAAGGGGGAAUCCUGAACAUGCAACAAUGAAAAAUUACUAGCCUCUCUCCUGCCUGCACUGGAAAGAUGAAGUUGGCUGCGUUAUGUGGCAGCAGGAAUCACUGUAGUCACUACCAGCAUAGGAAAUAAGGGCGACGCCUGCAGGAAUGUGCACAUAGCAGCAACAACACAACACUUGAAAGUCUGUUUGAACGUG
This 722-nucleotide long non-coding RNA is filed under the name Gallus gallus (chicken). Its description in RNAcentral is "long non-coding RNA NONGGAT004122". The record is from RNAcentral. Lineage: Eukaryota; Metazoa; Chordata; Aves; Galliformes; Phasianidae.